RNAcentral lists this ribosomal RNA (424 nucleotides) under Verrucomicrobiota bacterium. Its description in RNAcentral is "Verrucomicrobia bacterium partial 16S ribosomal RNA". It matches the Rfam family "Bacterial small subunit ribosomal RNA", at positions 355 to 776 of the family's 1533-position model. Lineage: Bacteria; Pseudomonadati; Verrucomicrobiota. The record is from RNAcentral.
UGAGGAAUAUUGGUCAAUGGGCGAGAGCCUGAACCAGCCAAGUAGCGUGCAGGAUGACGGCCCUAUGGGUUGUAAACUGCUUUUAUAUGGGAAUAAAGUGAGGGACGUGUCCCUUAUUGCAUGUACCAUACGAAUAAGGACCGGCUAAUUCCGUGCCAGCAGCCGCGGUAAUACAGAAGGUCCAGGCGUUAUCCGGAUUUAUUGGGUUUAAAGGGAGCGUAGGCUGUUUGUUAAGCGUGUUGUGAAAUGUAAGAGCUCAACUUUUAGAUUGCAGCGCGAACUGGCAGACUUGAGUGCGCACAACGUAGGCGGAAUUCAUGGUGUAGCGGUGAAAUGCUUAGAUAUCAUGACGAACUCCGAUUGCGAAGGCAGCUUACGGGAGCGCAACUGACGCUAAAGCUCGAAGGUGCGGGUAUCGAACAGG